Molecule: ribosomal RNA, 468 nt
Filed under: uncultured bacterium
Lineage: Bacteria
Description: partial 16S ribosomal RNA
Rfam family: Bacterial small subunit ribosomal RNA
Source: RNAcentral
GACGAACGCUGGCGGCGUGCUUAACACAUGCAAGUCGAACGGAAAGGCCCUGCUUUUGUGGGGUGCUCGAGUGGCGAACGGGUGAGUAACACGUGAGUAACCUGCCCUUGACUUUGGGAUAACUUCAGGAAACUGGGGCUAAUACCGGAUAGGAGCUCCUGCUGCAUGGUGGGGGUUGGAAAGUUUCGGCGGUUGGGGAUGGACUCGCGGCUUAUCAGCUUGUUGGGGGGGUAGUGGCUUACCAAGGCUUUGACGGGUAGCCGGCCUGAGAGGGUGACCGGCCACAUUGGGACUGCGGUACGGCCCAGACGCCAACGAGAGGCAGCAGGCGGGAAUAUUGCACAAUGGGCGGAAGCCUGAUGCAGCAACGCCGCGUGCGGGAUGACGGCCUUCGGGUUGUAAACCGCUUUCGCCUGUGACGAAGCGUGAGUGACGGUAAUGGGUAAAGAAGCACCGGCUAACUACGUG